This 518-nucleotide ribosomal RNA is filed under the name uncultured bacterium. Its description in RNAcentral is "partial 16S ribosomal RNA". It matches the Rfam family "Bacterial small subunit ribosomal RNA", at positions 29 to 507 of the family's 1533-position model. The record is from RNAcentral.
ACGAACGCUGGCGGCGUGCCUAAUACAUGCAAGUCGAGCGAGUCUGCCUUGAAGAUCGGAGUGCUUGCACUCUGUGAAACAAGAUACAGGCUAGCGGCGGACGGGUGAGUAACACGUGGGUAACCUGCCCAAGAGAUCGGGAUAACACCUGGAAACAGAUGCUAAUACCGGAUAACAACAGAUGAUGCCUAUCAACUGUUUAAAAGAUGGUUCUGCUAUCACUCUUGGAUGGACCUGCGGUGCAUUAGCUAGUUGGUAGGGUAACGGCCUACCAAGGCGAUGAUGCAUAGCCGAGUUGAGAGACUGAUCGGCCACAUUGGGACUGAGACACGGCCCAAACUCCUACGGGAGGCAGCAGUAGGGAAUCUUCCACAAUGGACGCAAGUCUGAUGGAGCAACGCCGCGUGAGUGAAGAAGGGUUUCGGCUCGUAAAGCUCUGUUGUUGGUGAAGAAGGACAGGGGUAGUAACUGACCUUUGUUUGACGGUAAUCAAUUAGAAAGUCACGGCUAACUACGUG